GUGCAGGUCUUGUGCGGCGGGGUGCUGCGAACCAUGUCAGGCGGGGAACCGAGCAGCAUUAAGCAGAUUUCCUCGGGCGAUACAAAUCCGCCUGCGCGUC
RNAcentral lists this signal recognition particle RNA (100 nucleotides) under Oscillospiraceae bacterium. RNAcentral's name for it is "signal recognition particle sRNA small type". It matches the Rfam family "Bacterial small signal recognition particle RNA". Rfam says of the family: The signal recognition particle (SRP) is a universally conserved ribonucleoprotein involved in the co-translational targeting of proteins to membranes. Lineage: Bacteria; Bacillati; Bacillota; Clostridia; Eubacteriales; Oscillospiraceae. The record is from RNAcentral.